This 457-nucleotide ribosomal RNA is filed under the name uncultured bacterium. RNAcentral describes it as "bacterial SSU rRNA". It matches the Rfam family "Bacterial small subunit ribosomal RNA", at positions 340 to 786 of the family's 1533-position model. The record is from RNAcentral.
UACGGGAAGGCAGCAGUGGGGAAUAUUGCACAAUGGGCGAAAGCCUGAUGCAGCUAUGCCGCGUGUAUGAAGAAGGCCUUAGGGUUGUAAAGUACUUUCAUCGGGGAGGAAAAAACAAAACUAAUAAUUUUAUUUCUUGACGUUACCCGAAAAAGAAGCACCGGCUAACUCCGUGCCAGCAGCCGCGGUAAUACGGAGGGUGCUAGCGUUAAUCAGAAUUACUGGGCGUAAAGAGCACGUAGGUGGUUUUUUUAAGUCAGAUGUGAAAUCCCUGGGCUUAACCUAGGAACUGCAUUUUGAAACUGAAAUACUAGAGUAUCGUAGAGGGAGGUAGAAUUCUAGGUGUAGCGGUGAAAUGCGUAGAUAUCUGGAGGAAUACCUGUGGCGAAAGCGGCCUCCUAAACGAAUACUGACACUGAGGUGCGAAAGCGUGGGGAGCAAACAGGGAUUAGAUACC